This 702-nucleotide ribosomal RNA is filed under the name Triticum aestivum (bread wheat). RNAcentral's name for it is "partial small subunit ribosomal RNA". Lineage: Eukaryota; Viridiplantae; Streptophyta; Magnoliopsida; Poales; Poaceae. The record is from RNAcentral.
AUGUGUGGUCUGCAGCUGCCGCUCCUCCCUGUUGCGCUUUGCUGCGCAAAGGACCUCGAUCUCGUCCACUGCAUCGGGGUUAUUGGGCAUGUUGUUUUCCCCACGGACAGCGACCUCGAAGUCUGCGACAUCGGCGGUUGGGGGGUGCACCCCUCCUCGCCAUUCUCCAUCGACAGCCCUCCACUCUUCUCUGUGUGGUGUGGCAAAGUGGCUUUGUUACCUAUUCCAUUAGGAACCGCAGAUUUUUUAGUCCAUCACAUUCAUGCAUUUACCAUACAUGUGACUGUAUUAAUACUUUUGAAAGGUGUUUUAUUUGCUCGGAGUUCCCGUUUGAUACCCGAUAAAGCAAAUCUAGGUUUUCGCUUUCCUUGCGAUGGGCCUGGAUCGGCGGUUGGGGGGGCGCACCCCUCCUCGCCAUUCUCCAUCGACAGCCCUCCACUCUUCUCUGUGUGGUGCAGACCAACAGUCGUCCGGCGGGGAGAAGGUAUGGUGUCACCGAUAGGAGCGCACCACGUAGCACCACUGCAUUCCGCCGCCGGCCGCCGCGAGGGCACCUCUGCUGGUCGCUCUUGCGACCACUUCCAGGUGGCCAUACACAUGCACUCCUUUUGUUCAGAUGGUGUUCAUGGGAUCCAGGUGGCUGUACAUGUGCACGUCCGACGUGGGGAUGGUGUCCACUUUAUGUUCAGGGGUCCCAAAUAA